CAGCUACCAUGCAAGUCGAGCGAGAUCUUCGGAUCUAGCGGCGGACGGGUGAGUAACGCGUGGGAACGUACCCUCUUCUGCGGGAUAGCCACUGGAAACGGUGAGUAAUACCGCAUACGCCCUUCGGGGGAAAGAUUUAUCGGAGGAGGAUCGGCCCGCGUUGGAUUAGGUAGUUGGUGGGGUAAUGGCCUACCAAGCCUACGAUCCAUAGCUGGUUUUAGAGGAUGAUCAGCCACACUGGGACUGAGACACGGCCCAGACUCCUACGGGAGGCAGCAGUGGGGAAUCUUAGACAAUGGGCGCAAGCCUGAUCUAGCCAUGCCGCGUGAGUGACGAAGGCCUUAGGGUCGUAAAGCUCUUUCGCCUGUGAUGAUAAUGACAGUAGCAGGUAAAGAAACCCCGGCUAACUCCGUGCCAGCAGCCGCGGUAAUACGGAGGGGGUUAGCGUUGUUCGGAAUUACUGGGCGUAAAGCGCACGUAGGCGGAUUGGAAAGUAUGGGGUGAAAUCCCAGGGCUCAACCCUGGAACGGCCUCAUAAACUUCCAGUCUGGAGUUCGAGAGAGGUGAGUGGAAUUCCGAGUGUAGAGGUGAAAUUCGUAGAUAUUCGGAGGAACACCAGUGGCGAAGGCGGCUCACUGGCUCGAUACUGACGCUGAGGUGCGAAAGUGUGGGGAGCAAACAGGAUUAGAUACCCUGGUAGUCCAC
RNAcentral lists this ribosomal RNA (705 nucleotides) under Roseovarius sp. Its description in RNAcentral is "bacterial SSU rRNA". It matches the Rfam family "Bacterial small subunit ribosomal RNA", at positions 47 to 798 of the family's 1533-position model. The record is from RNAcentral. Lineage: Bacteria; Pseudomonadati; Pseudomonadota; Alphaproteobacteria; Rhodobacterales; Roseobacteraceae.